Molecule: ribosomal RNA, 499 nt
Filed under: uncultured bacterium
Lineage: Bacteria
Description: partial 16S ribosomal RNA
Rfam family: Bacterial small subunit ribosomal RNA
Source: RNAcentral
GACGAACGCUGGCGGCGUGCUUAACACAUGCCAGUCGAACGGGCCCGCCCCUGUUUUUGGGGGUGGGUUGAGUGGCGAACGGGUGAGUAUCACGUGAGUAACCUGCCCCCUGCUCCUGGAUAACUGCUUGAAAGGGCGGCUAAUACGGGGUGUGCCGGCUGGUCCGCAUGGGCCUGGUCGGGAUAGUUUCAUCUUCGGGUGUUUCGGUGGGGGAUGGGCUCGCGGCCUAUCAGCUUGUUGGUGGGGUGAUGGCCCACCAAGGCGGUGACGGGUAGCCGGCCUGAGAGGGUGGGCGGCCACACUGGGACUGAGACACGGCCCAGACUCCUGCGGGAGGCAGCAGUGGGGGGUAUUGCACAAUGGGCGGAAGCCUGAGGCAGCGACGUCGCGUGAGGGAUGGAGGCCUUCGGGUUGUGAACCUCUUUCUCCGGUGGUGAAGGCCCUGUCCGUUGCGGCGGGGUUGACGGUAGCCGGGUAUGAAGCGCCGGCUAACUACGUG